RNAcentral lists this long non-coding RNA (5772 nucleotides) under Canis lupus familiaris (dog). RNAcentral describes it as "lncRNA (ENSCAFG00845005560.1)". The record is from RNAcentral. Lineage: Eukaryota; Metazoa; Chordata; Mammalia; Carnivora; Canidae.
AUGUGCAUGUGUGCAAGUAGUAGGUAUAUGCAAACUCUGUAAUUUCCUUAAUUUUUUUCUGUGAAUCUAAAACUGCUUUAAAAAAAGUCUCUUAAAUUUCAUUGGGGAAUGCCAUAUGAAAGGCAGCAUAUGUCCAAAAAAAUCUAACUGUAUUAUAAACAGGUAAAAUAAUCUCCCUGAAGGAGGUGGAGAAAGGUAUGUAUCUAAGAAACUUUGGAAAUGAGUAGAAUCUAAAAAGACUAAACUCAAAGGGAAGUGAAAAUAAACAUUUCACUAUAGUUAAUAAACUUCCAUCUCCUGGGUACAGGUUAACAAUUCUGAUUGUGUUAGACACACAUACUGCAAUUAAUCAAGUAAGUAAAAAGAUGGCAGAUGGUAGAAGCCAGAUUUCUCAUUCCUGGAGUGGGAGUUUAUAGAUAUGCAAGAAGAGUAGGCUAGGAUUAUCCAUGUAAUGAAUUAAUGAAUUAAUAGAAUUAAUAGAGCUGGUAAUGAAUUAAUAGAGCUGGAGAUCUCAGCAUGAAUGUAUGUUUAGCAUAAUACAGACACAAAUGAUUACAUAUAGAAAUAUUUAUAGACAUGUAGAUAUACACAGGUUGGUAGCACAUAUAUUUUCUUUCUCUCUCAGCUGAGGGAGCCUAGAAGCACCAACACCCAGUAGCAAGGAGCAGGCCCAUCAUCCAGAUCUUGGUUUCUAAUGCAUUCUUCAAUAGAAGGAGCCAGUUGAUAAUAAAUAUGCACCCUUGUUAUGUUGUGAUGAGAACAGCAUUUUCUCUCUUGUUUCCCAUUAAAAAUGCAUUCCCCAAUCUAAUCAUGAGAAAAAUCAUAAACAAAUCCCAGUUGAGAGAUUUGCUACAAAAUAAUCUGACCAAUACUUCUCAAAACUAAUGAGGCCAUCAAAAACAGGAAAUCCAAAAAUUGUCACAACCAAGAGUUGCCCAAGAAGAAAUGAUGAGUAAAAAUAUUUUGGCAUCCUGGAUGGGAUCCCAAAAAAAAAGAAAAAGGACAAUAAGCAACAAAUAAGAAAAUUAGAAUAAAUUAUAGAAUUUAGCUAAUAAUAAUGUAUUAAAAGUUAAUUAGAUCAUAAUAAUGCUAGGAAAAUAGGGUGAGGGAUAUAUGGAUACUCUGUACUACCUUCAGAACUUUCUAAAAUAUAAAAAUGUUCUGAAAAUUUUAUAUUAAUUUUUUUCAAGUAUAGCAGGGAGAAUGAAUUAGAGCACAAACGGAGAAGAGACCAAGUCAAAAGGCUAUUGUAAUAAUCCAUGGACCAGAUGUUGGUGGUUCCUCCUAGGAAAUGCUAAUAAGGAUGGAAAAUGGCAGACAUCUUCCAGAAAUAUUUAGGAAUUAGAGUAAAAGUCACUAGCUAUUGAUUUGGGUAUAAAGGUACAGUAUCGAGGAGUUAAGGGUUACUUACAUACAGAUUUUGGUGACUGAAUGAAUAAUAAAGGCAAUUAUGUUUUAAGUGAGGUUUGAUGAAUUUUGAAAAAUUAUUUAAAAAAAAUUCAAACGAUUGCCUUAACAUUAGGCAAGUUAAGGCAGAGAACAUAUUAAUGUACUUGGCCAAUUCAGUUUUAUAGUAUGUUUAAAAUAGAUUUACUUCUGUCAUGAACACAUAGUCAAAUCAUUCAAAAUUGACAUAUUCAAUUUUCCCUCAUUGAGAUGAUUAGCACAUUUUAAAAUUGCUUUCCCUGGGGUACCUGGGUGGUUCAGUGGUUGAGCGCCUGCCUUUGGCUCAGAUCGUGAUCUCAGGGUCCUGGAAUUGAGUCCUACAUCAUGCUCCUCAUGGGGAGCCUGCUUCUCCCUCUGGCUAUGUCUCUGCCUCUCUCUCUCUCUCUCAUAAAUAAAUAAAUAAAACCUUAAAAAUAAGUAGAUAAGUAAAUAAAAUCGCUUUCCCAUCCAAAUUUGCAUACAUGGUUUCAAUGUUUGAAACUUAUAAAGAUAAAUAAAAAAUUUAAAUGGGUUACAAAAUUAUUUUAAAGCACCUUAGAGACCCUGCAUAUUCUUUUUUGAUUUUAUGUGAGAUAAUAAUGUUAAAUGAUUGAAAUGUUAGAUCAUUCUACCCUCCCUCAAGUAUAAUGUUAUAUGUAGGAAAGCUAAAGGGGAGAGAUAAAAUUGACACUUAACCUCCCCUAUAUAGAGUAAGGGCACAUGCCCCCUUCUACAGAUUAAUAAAUUCAGUGAAUGCUAUUAUUUAGCUUUAUAUAUUGAUCUAGUUUAAGGAAAAAAUAUCUUGGAUAAUAUUAGAUGUCAUAGAUAUAAGGCACAUUUCCUGACCCAAACAAAAGCAUCUAAACUAAAAAGAAAAUUAUUUUAUUAUACUAUGACCCAAUUAAUCAUUUGAAUGUCAACUAAUCCCUCCAAAUUAGGUUUUGUCAUAAAAGACAUUUCUGGCACAGAACUAGUAAAAAUGUGCUAAUGUUAUGAUGGAAAAAAUAAAACCUUCCUUCAAUUAAAAAAAAGAAAAAGCCAUAAAGCUGAUAAUAUCAUUAAAGGCAUGACUCUUAUUUCCUGAGUUUUAAAAACUAUUUUUGUUAACAGUUUAGGUGAAAUGGAUACAUCAACAGUGCCACGUAGAUAAUUUAUAUGUCAUGAUUCUUUGACAAUAGCUAGACUUGCUGAUGUGUUUCUUGAUAACACUGCAUUUUCACUUUAGGGAGUGAUAAGCUCCCUCUUGUAAAGCUGAUGUCAGCAAACUGGCCCAGUUUGAUCUUCAUAAGGUUAUGCUUUGAAAAUUAAUGGGACAGCUACAUAUAAAAUCAAAAUCAAUUCACUAUUUUCUGCAGUGGGAUAAGAAUGAAUUAUCCAAUAUAAAGUGUGGAAUGCAAUAAAGGCUGCAAUCUCAUCUCACUAUUCUUAUGUUUUUUUAAUAAACUACUCAUGCUUUUUUUCUUGCAGUUUAUGACAUCAAAGGGACUCUACUGUAAAAUUACAGCAAUAAAUUUCACCUUAUGCUGGACAGAUUUUAUUUCUUUUCUCUCUGUCAUCCUGUUUUGCAAAUAAUCAAGACAUGACAAAAUUGAUUAAAGAUUUAUCUCGCCUUCAUCAAAUACAAUAACUGCCUUGCUUAGUUAAAAAAAAAGGCAAUGUAAAAGCAGAGCUAAGUUUAGACUAAGUUGCUACUAUUUAACACUACUCAGAGAUGAAUUAUAUACAGGUAAACCAAAAUAGUUGCCUUUAUUAUCACUGAAUAUUUAAGUCCUUGGAGUCCAAGAAAAAGUGGAUUUCUUUAUUACCACUGGCAUUUGGCAAAAGUUGUUAAUCAGUUAUAAAAAAAAAUGCAUUGUUUACUACCAUCUGCUGUCACAUCUGUUUUACAAAUACAUGGCUCCAAAGAGAUUAUAUAUAGGUUGAAUAUAGAUAAGAUACUUCUAGAUAUAUUUCUGAAUGCUAAGGAAAUAUUUUUUUAAAUAUCUAACAUCUGAUUUUUUUAGAAUUUCAGAACACCAAAAAAAAUUAUUCUUUUUUUACAAAUUCUUGGAUAUAUUUACCUAUUUCCUCUAAGAACAUUGACAUCUAAUCAUUUUUAUGAUUCAUUAUAUAAUUGAAUUUUUAAAAACUUUCCUUAUCAUUAUCAAUCUUUUAACUAAAAUUAUAAAGAGGAUAUAAAAAUCUAUAUACAUUUAUAGUUUUAAUUUUUCUCUACUUUUCCCCUAUAACAAUAUUCAAUUUAUCCUGCAUGAUUUUAUUCUCAUCCCAACUGUUCACACAUAAAGACCCUGCUCACUUUCUACUCUUCCUGUUGCCUCAUAUCUUAUACCUGGUAUGCCCAUUUCUUUGAAGAUUCCUGCCUUGUUUUAUGUAUUGGAAAAUUCACCCUAUGGGGAGACAUAAUAGACAUCCCUACUCAUAGAUAACCCAGCAUAGCUUAUGAUGCUUGCUCUAUGAAUGUGCAAUAUAUACCAGUUUUUUUUUUAACUUUCACUGUUUUGUUGGAUAACACUUUUAACCACUCCUCUAUGUAUGUUAAGAUAUAGUCACUAGUCCUCUCUAACUCAUUCUGCCAUGAAAGAACAGAAUAUGGAAGGCUAUGGAGUAAUGCAUACAUAAGUAAGACAAAAAAAAUUCUAUAAAACACUCCUAUUAAGGAAACCAAUUUCCAGAAUUGAAAACACUGAACUUUAUAAAUAUAAAUUACAUAAUAAUAAUAAUAAUAAUAAUAAUAAUAAUAAUAAUAAUUUUCCUCAGGAUUUAAGGGAGGCCCACCAGUUCUGAGAUGUCCAAUACUACUAACAUCUCUCAGCUAAGUGGCACUUCCAUUGGUAAUGCAUUAAGUUAGCCUACAAAAUAUGAGAUUAUGAGGCCCCAGAAUUUCUUUCAGUGUCCUUAUCCAAUUCCUUCUCACAGAUAUUCCAAACCAACCCUUAUCCCUACUAAGCAUGAGUACUUUGUCACUCAAAUUUAUCCAAGCAUUUCUUCAUUUCCUAAACUUCUCUACAUUUUGCCUUUACCCUUUUCUCCUUUUGCCUCUCUGAUGAGAGCACUGCUUCCCCUUUGGCACUACCAAAUGUUGGCUCUUUUCCCCCUAACCACCAACCUCUAUCCCUCUUUACUCCUCACUAUUUUCACAACACUUAUCAGAGAUAAAAAAAAAGCUAAUGUUACAGUUGUCUAGAUUUAAAAUGUUAAUGUAACACACACAAAAAAUGAAUAAUUGUACGUCUGUUAAUAUUGUAUAAAACUAGUGGUAGAAUCAUUUAACUAUUACCAAUACUAAUUUGUCCUUAGCAAGAAUCCUUAAACAUAAAUUUAAACAUAAAAAUAAAGAAUUUUAAGACUAUCUAUGAAAAUUCUUUGCAACGUCUAUGUCUGCUGAAUGAGAAAUUUUCACACAUACUAUUUGGAUCCUUCAAUGCCAUCAAGAAUUGUUAUUAAAAAUAAUCAGAAAAAAAUCAGUAUGUAAGAUAGUAAGAGUUCUUUUUUUCUGUUGGUAAUAGAAAUAUUUGAAUGACCCUGAUGCUUCAACCAAAAUGUCAGAGGUUUUAAAACUGAUUUUUUUAAAAGAUUCUCAAAUUAAAAACCAAUUUAAAAUUUGUAGUUCUCUUGAAGGUUUUAGUAGCAUGCAAUGUUGAUAAAAUGCAAAGUGUGAAUUGAAAAAUCAUGUAAAAUUUAUGUACCUGUGAAGCUCAUUACAGAAAUAGGCUCAUAGUUCCAUUAAGCAGCAACACCUGCUUUUUUUUUUUUCUUUUCAGUUCUAGUUGCAGAGAGUAAAUUUAAUCUAUUGAACAAUUAAUCUGGUAACAUACAUUUUGUUUGAAAUAUACAUGAAAACUAGUUAUGGAAAAUGUUGACUCUGAAGUAAGCUUGUCUCUGUAAAGCUUUGUUUUUCAUUUUGAAGCAAAUGUGUUCUUGGUACAAUGCAUUAUCAAAGAACAUGUUUAAUGAUGAUUAAGAAAAAACACUUUACAGUUGUUAUCUGUUCUCAUUUUUAUUUUGAAACAUUUUUAAAAAUAAAAUAAGGUGAUUUUUUUUGAAGAAAAAUGACAGGAUUGUACACUAUUAUUUUUUUUGUACACUACUUUAAGAGAGAGAGGAAAAUAAUCAAUAAAUCCAUUUGCAUAUCUGGAUAGUUCUUGAAUAAUAGUAUUCAUUUUUAUCCAAAUAAAAAUGGAAAGGGAUUACUGUUUUUAAGUAUAUAUCCCACUCCAUAUAGGAAUAUGAGUCUUUAGAAAAUAGAGAAAAUUAUAUACAAUUGACAGAAUUUUAGGGAUUAAAUGAGAUUGUAUUUGUGUGGCUUGGAACUAUUGAAAAAUCCUCUUUGGGAUCCUCAUACUCUGC